Molecule: ribosomal RNA, 440 nt
Filed under: uncultured bacterium
Lineage: Bacteria
Description: partial 16S ribosomal RNA
Rfam family: Bacterial small subunit ribosomal RNA
Source: RNAcentral
CCUACGGGCGGCAGCAGUGGGGGAUAUUGCACAAUGGGGGGAACCCUGAUGCAGCGACGCCGCGUGAGCGAUGGAGUACUUCGGUAUGUAAAGCUCUGUCAGCAGGGAAGAAAAUGACGGUACCUGACCAAGAAGCCCCGGCUAAAUACGUGCCAGCAGCCGCGGUAAUACGUAUGGAGCAAGCGUUAUCCGGAUUUACUGGGUGUAAAGGGAGAGUAGGUGGCAGAGCAAGUCCGAAGUGAAAACCCAAAGCUCAACUAUGGGAAUGCUUUAGAAACUGCUCAGCUAGAGUGCAGGAGAGGCAAGUGGAAUUCUUAGUGUAGCGGUGAAAUGCGUAGAUAUUAGGAGGAACACCAGUGGCGAAGGCGGCUUGCUGGACUGUAACCGACACUGAGGCUCGAAAGCGUGGGGAGCAAACAGGAUUAGAUACCCUUGUAGUC